AAAAAACUGGAUGUUUCCUGUAUUUUUGUGACCCCUGCUAAGGGAGUAGGUCGGGUAACCGGCGCGAGGGUUCAAAUCCCUCUUUCUCCGCCA
RNAcentral lists this transfer RNA (93 nucleotides) under Caudoviricetes sp. Its description in RNAcentral is "tRNA-OTHER". The record is from RNAcentral. Lineage: Duplodnaviria; Heunggongvirae; Uroviricota; Caudoviricetes.